UUGGCUCAGGNACCGGACGCUGGCGGCGUGCCUAAUACAUGCAAGUCGAACGCGCAGCGAGAGGUGCUUGCACCUUUCAAGCGAGUGGCGAACGGGUGAGUAACACGUGGAUAACCUGCCUCAAGGCUGGGGAUAACAUUUGGAAACAGAUGCUAAUACCGAAUAAAACUUAGUAUCGCAUGAUAUCAAGUUAAAAGGCGCUACGGCGUCACCUAGAGAUGGAUCCGCGGUGCAUUAGUUAGUUGGUGGGGUAAAGGCUUACCAAGACAAUGAUGCAUAGCCGAGUGAGAGACUGAUCGGCCACAUGGACGAGACCGCC
RNAcentral lists this ribosomal RNA (319 nucleotides) under Leuconostoc citreum. RNAcentral describes it as "bacterial SSU rRNA". It matches the Rfam family "Bacterial small subunit ribosomal RNA", at positions 19 to 332 of the family's 1533-position model. Lineage: Bacteria; Bacillati; Bacillota; Bacilli; Lactobacillales; Lactobacillaceae. The record is from RNAcentral.